RNAcentral lists this ribosomal RNA (657 nucleotides) under uncultured Streptococcus sp. Its description in RNAcentral is "bacterial SSU rRNA". It matches the Rfam family "Bacterial small subunit ribosomal RNA", at positions 28 to 669 of the family's 1533-position model. The record is from RNAcentral. Lineage: Bacteria; Bacillati; Bacillota; Bacilli; Lactobacillales; Streptococcaceae.
GACGAACGCUGGCGGCGUGCCUAAUACAUGCAAGUAGAACGCUGAAGAGAGGAGCUUGCUCUUCUUGGAUGAGUUGCGAACGGGUGAGUAACGCGUAGGUAACCUGCCUGGUAGCGGGGGAUAACUAUUGGAAACGAUAGCUAAUACCGCAUAAAAUGGAUUAUCGCAUGAUAAUUCAUUGAAAGGUGCAAAUGCAUCAAUACCAGAUGGACCUGCGUUGUAUUAGCUAGUUGGUGGGGUAACGGCUCACCAAGGCGACGAUACAUAGCCGACCCGAGAGGGUGAUCGGCCACACUGGGACUGAGACACGGCCCAGACUCCUACGGGAGGCAGCAGUAGGGAAUCUUCGGCAAUGGACGGAAGUCUGACCGAGCAACGCCGCGUGAGUGAAGAAGGUUUUCGGAUCGUAAAACUCUGUUGUUAGAGAGAACAAGUGCUAGAGUAACUGUUAGCGCCUUGACGGUAUCUAACCAGAAAGCCACGGCUAACUACGUGCCAGCAGCCGCGGUAAUACGUAGGUGGCAAGCGUUGUCCGGAUUUAUUGGGCGUAAAGCGAGCGCAGGCGGUUCCUUAAGUCUGAUGUGAAAGCCCCCGGCUCAACCGGGGAGGGUCAUUGGAAACUGGGGAACUUGAGUGCAGAAGAGGAGAGUGGAAUUC